GAUGAACGCUAGCGAUAGGCCUAACACAUGCAAGUCGAGGGGCAUCACAUGAAGUAGCAAUACGGAUGGUGGCGACCGGCGCACGGGUGAGUAACACGUAUGCAACCUGCCUUCAACAAGGGGAUAACCCGUUGAAAGACGGACUAAUACCCUAUAACACAGGGGUCCCGCAUGGGAAUAUUUGUUAAAGGACAACCGGUUGAAGAUGGGCAUGCGUUCCAUUAGCUAGUUGGCGGGGUAACGGCCCACCAAGGCAACGAUGGGAUAGGGGAACUGAGAGGUUUAUCCCCCACACUGGUACUGAGACACGGACCAGACUCCUACGGGAGGCAGCAGUGAGGAAUAUUGGUCAAUGGACGCAAGUCUGAACCAGCCACGUCGCGUGAAGGAAGACGGCCCUACGGGUUGUAAACUUCUUUUAUACGGGAAUAAAGUGCCCCACGCGUGGGGUUUUGCAUGUACCGUAUGAAUAAGGAUCGGCUAACUCCGUGCCAGCAG
Molecule: ribosomal RNA, 498 nt
Filed under: uncultured bacterium
Lineage: Bacteria
Description: bacterial SSU rRNA
Rfam family: Bacterial small subunit ribosomal RNA
Source: RNAcentral